RNAcentral lists this long non-coding RNA (419 nucleotides) under Gopherus agassizii (Agassiz's desert tortoise). RNAcentral's name for it is "lncRNA (ENSGAGG00000007198.1)". The record is from RNAcentral. Lineage: Eukaryota; Metazoa; Chordata; Testudines; Testudinidae.
AUGGAGAGUGAAGGGAAAGCUCCCCUUGUUCUGGAGAAAUACAGACUCAUUGUGAUAACUGCAGAGAGACUGGGUGGGAAAGGUCUUCAAAAUCAUUCUCAUGGGAUGGGGAAAGCAUCCUGCUUCACUCUAACACAGGAAGAAAUUCUGACCACUGUACAACGAUUGUUUACCAAACCUCCACGAACUUCUCUUAAAGGUCCAAGAUCACUAAUCAAAUGUUGGUGUGUAUUGUAAAUUACAUUUUGGAGAAUGCUAUAUUUCAAAAACAGUUCCUCCUUUUGCUCACUGCCUAGUUCUGGAUUCACUUUUCCUUGAAAAAAAGAGUUGAUCUCUAGUAUUCACUUGAACUACAGAUGCAAUCCUCAUGGAAUGAGUGAAAGAAUAAAUGUCAUUUAUAGUCUGGGUGGGAAAUAUUU